UUUGUGGUUGACUCCGAAUUUUAUACAGAUUCAUGAAGAAAGUAUACCGAGGCAAAUUUAGUUGUCUGAAGUUGCUACCGGGGUUCCCGACUUUCAGGUAGUUCUGUUUCCAGUUGCCGUCUGGUGGAGGUUUGUGCUCUCUCCAUUGUGAUUCAUCCAGUACGGUUACUCUUUGCAUUUUUAACCUUUCUACUAUAGUCGUCAGUUCAAACUGCAAGAAUGUAACACUAUUUCCUUGUAUUUUAGUCAACAAUGUGAAAUUCAUCAGUCUUUUCAAAA
This 279-nucleotide unclassified non-coding RNA is filed under the name Hevea brasiliensis (rubber tree). Lineage: Eukaryota; Viridiplantae; Streptophyta; Magnoliopsida; Malpighiales; Euphorbiaceae. The record is from RNAcentral.